This 397-nucleotide ribosomal RNA is filed under the name uncultured bacterium. RNAcentral describes it as "partial 16S ribosomal RNA". It matches the Rfam family "Bacterial small subunit ribosomal RNA", at positions 338 to 734 of the family's 1533-position model. The record is from RNAcentral.
CCUACGGGAGGCAGCAGUGGGGAAUAUUGCACAAUGGGGGAAAGCCUGAUGCAGCGACGCCGCGUGAGUGAAGAAGUAAUUCGUUACGUAAAGCACUAUCAGCCGGGAAGAAACACUGACCUUACGUUCAGCAGGCAGUACCUGAGUAAGAAGCCCCAACUAACUACGUACCAGCAGCCGCGGUAAUCCGUAGGGGGCAAGCGUUAUGCGGAUUUACUGGUUGGAAAGGGACCGUAGCCGGUGGGCCAAGUCUGGCGUGAAAUGCCGCAGCUUAACUGCGGAACUGCGUUGGAGAUUGGCGAACUAGAGGGUGGGAGGGGUAAGAGGAAUUCCUAGUGUAGCGGUGAAAUGCGUAGAGAUGAGGAGGAACACCGGUGGCGAAGGCGGCUUACUGGAC